AUGGCAACCCCUCAUAGGGCCACAUGGAUCCCCAAUAGGGACACAGGGACCCACAUAGGGGACAUGACAACCCUCAAUAGGACACAGGGACCCCCAACAGGGGCACGGGGACUCCUAAUAGGAACACAGGAACCCCAGUGGGGACAUGGCAAACCCCAGAAGGGGCACGGGAACCCCAUAAGGACACAGGGACCCCCAAUAGGGACACAGGGACCCCCAAGAGGGACAUGGCAACCCCCAAUAGGGGCACAGGGACCCCUAAUAGGGGCAUGGCAACCCCUCAUAGGAACAUAGGGACCCCAAUAGGAACACAGGGACCCACAUAGGGACAUGGCAACCCCUCAUAGGGCCACAGGAACCCCCCAUAAGGACACAGGGACCCCUAAUAGGAACUCAGGUACCCAUAUAGGGACAUGGCAACCGUCAAUAGGGACAUGGGGAUCCAAUAGGGACACAGGGACCCCCAAUAGGGGACAUGGCAACCCCUCAUAGGAACAUAGGGACCCUCAAUAGGGGCACGGGGACCCCCAAUAGGGAUAUGGCAACCCCUCAUAGGGACACAGAGAACCCCGAUAGGGACACAGGGACCCCAAUAGGGACACAGGGACCUCUAAUAGGAACAUGGCAACGCCUAAUAGGGGCACAGGGACCCCCUAUAGGAACACAGGGACCCCAAUAGGAGCACAGGGACCCCAAUAGGAGCACAGGGACCCCUAAUAGGAGCACAGGGACCCCUAAUAGGGGCAUAGGAACCUCUCAUAGGACCAUAGGGACUCCAAUAGGAACACAGAGACCCCCAAGAGGGACAUGGCAACCCCCAAUAGGGCCACAGGGACCCCAACAGGACACAGGGACCCCAACAGGAACACAGGGACCCCUAAUGGGGACACAGGGACCCCUAAUGGGGACAUGGCAACCCCCAACAGGGGCACGGGGACCCACACAGGGACACAGGGACCCCUAAUAAGGCUGCAGGGACCCUAAUAGUGGCACAGGGACCCCCAAGAGGGACAUGGCAACCCCUCAUAGGAACAUAGGAACCCCAAUAGGAACCCAGGGACCCCCAAGAGGGACUUGGCAACCCCCAAUAGGGGCAUGGGGACCCACACAGUGACACAGGGACCCCUAACAGGGACAUGGCAACCCCUCAUAGGAACAUAGGGACCCCAAUAGGAACACAGGGACCCACAUAGGGACAUGGCAACCCCUCAUAGGGCCACAGGAACCCCCCAUAAGGACACAGGGACCCCUAAUAGGAACACAGGGACCCCAGUGGGGACAUGGCAACCCCCAA
RNAcentral lists this long non-coding RNA (1294 nucleotides) under Phasianus colchicus (ring-necked pheasant). Its description in RNAcentral is "lncRNA (ENSPCLG00000014916.1)". Lineage: Eukaryota; Metazoa; Chordata; Aves; Galliformes; Phasianidae. The record is from RNAcentral.